Molecule: unclassified non-coding RNA, 238 nt
Filed under: Hevea brasiliensis (rubber tree)
Lineage: Eukaryota; Viridiplantae; Streptophyta; Magnoliopsida; Malpighiales; Euphorbiaceae
Source: RNAcentral
ACAUAUGAAUAAGUUUGCCUUAGAGAAGGCAUGGGAUCCCUACCAAGCACUUGGACCCGAAUAUGAUCAUAUUCUAUGUUUAACCUAGCAAGGAAGUCAUAGAUCUGUUCUUUUUCAAUUAUUUUUUGAAAUUUAACAGCAUCAGCAGUACAUGUGACUUGAAGGUCUUAGUAAUAGUCUAGUUCCUGCCACAAACCACUCAGUUCAGUAAAAUACUGAGCAAUGGUCACCUCUCUUU